This 232-nucleotide unclassified non-coding RNA is filed under the name Hevea brasiliensis (rubber tree). Lineage: Eukaryota; Viridiplantae; Streptophyta; Magnoliopsida; Malpighiales; Euphorbiaceae. The record is from RNAcentral.
UAAAACCCCUAAGCUUUGGUCAAAACUUGAAACCAUUUUUCUUGUCCAUUUUGAUGAGGUGCUUUUAUAUGGGUUUUUAUUUUUUCGGCUGAUUAGAAGACACGGAUGGGUGUAAAUGUGGGUAUUUUAUUUUGAGCUAAUACUGGUGGAAUUAGUAGUGUAAAUUUGAGGUGCUAAGUGUUAAAAGCCAAGAUCUGUGUUGGUGUAGCUUCAAGAUUAUGGUUGAUGAAUG